RNAcentral lists this long non-coding RNA (200 nucleotides) under Sorghum bicolor (sorghum). RNAcentral's name for it is "long non-coding RNA (SBIC_LNC009860)". The record is from RNAcentral. Lineage: Eukaryota; Viridiplantae; Streptophyta; Magnoliopsida; Poales; Poaceae.
ACAGCCAAAGAGUAGGUCAAGUCCACAGAACACCGUAUAGCUGCACAAGAGCGUUCCAAGUGCCUAGAAGUGUUCAAAAAACUAGAGGAAAAAGUCUACAUCACCCCCUGAAAAUUAUGGGUGGUGUCUACUUUACCCCCGAACUAUGAAACAGUCUACUUUACCAUUUGAACUAUACAAAACUGUUCAAAUCACCCCCU